This is a long non-coding RNA of Lotus japonicus, 1164 nucleotides long. RefSeq lists it as uncharacterized. The record is from RefSeq and is a predicted model, not a curated record. The transcript is spliced from 2 exons. Lineage: Eukaryota; Viridiplantae; Streptophyta; Magnoliopsida; Fabales; Fabaceae.
UCAAUUUGGAACAAUUUUAUGGAAGUUUGAAUAAAAUUGAAGUUUUAGCUAAUGUUUGAUAACUGGCAGAUUAGAACUGUCAACUUGUGCGAAUUUGUAGAGGUUCUUAACGACUUCAUUUGGGAAAGCUUCCUUCAUGAGAGUUGUAGCCCUUUAAGUUAAGAAAAUUCUCGAUUGGUUUCGUGUAAAUCCGAUAUCUGUAGCUCCAGAUAUCCCUGUUUUAAUGAGCAAAGGUCUGGCUGUACAGUACCUACGUAAUUUUAUUAAAAGUUGGGUUGGUGUUUUGGGCUUAAACCUUUUAACUUGGGUUACGUGGUGGAUUAAACUCAUAAUCAGAAGGUUCUUAGGCUGAAUGGAGCAUUAUGGGCCAAGGACGGCUGAUCCAAGGAAAGAAGCAAGGGUUUUGAAAACCCUAAGGCUUGGUGAGCCGCCGGCUGCCCAUGGAAAAAGGAAGGGGGCUGCAGCUGGGUUUUCCUCUGAAUUAUGAGCUUUAAUGAGCCAUUAAUACUCUGUUCUUGGGCUGUAUCAGAUCUGAAACCAGAACCCUAGCCCACACAAGCCCUGGCCGCCACCUAUAGGCAAGGAUUAGAGUGAAAUCCUUAUUUUCUUACAUGCAAAACAGCACCAGAAAAUAUUUCACGUAAACACCAACCAAACAAGCAAACCAGCACCCUUCCCCUUGCUCCUAAGAGGCCUCCACUCGUCACCCUUGCACCACCAGCAGCCACCGCCCACCAAGGAGGAGGAGGAGACACGAGAAAGAGAGAAAAACCGCAAGGAAGGAGAGGAAACGCGAGAAGGAGAGGAAGCACGUGGAGGAAGGAGAAUUUUGGACAGCAGAGGAAGCUCUUUCUAUUCUUCACUUCUCUCCAUCAAAAUCCUACUUCUUUUCAUCUAAAUUCAUUCAAAACCCGAGAUGGUCGUGAAGAUAAUGGCGAUGACUCAUUCUUGGGAGUUGAUGCUACGUGACGUGCCAAUACCGGAGGACGACUACACUUCAGAGGAAGAGGAAGAGGCUAAGGAAUAGGGUUUGGGUUGAGAGUCUUUUGUUUUCUGUUGGGGUUGAGAGUUUCCGAAGUGUUGGUAUCGAACAAUUUUAUUGCUUAAAUUCGAAUGAACAAGUUUUGAUGUAAUCUUUAUUUUCAUUCAGGCCUUUGAUUCGUA